CACAACUCUUUAUUUAUUUGAUUUUUUAUCUAUAUGCCAGAUAGGGCUGGCUGUUGUAAUAGGAGCCACCAGCAGCCCUGGAUGGAGAAAAGAUGGUCCAGGAGACAGACAUACCUACAAUGCUGCAUAGGCCAGGCCUGGGUGCUGGGCCUGAGCUUACAUGGAUCCUGGGGAGAUGAGCAGGCCUGUGUGGCUGAGGGUCCUAGCUGAGGCCACUCAGGGCAAUGGCAGCCUACAGGUGCCCUCAGGGCUGUCACACUUGGAGGUGCUUUGGUUUAAAUUGGACAUAAUGCAUGGGAAUAGGGCUGCUUAGGUUCUGGUUGGGUGGUUCUUCCUUUUUGUGUGCCUGCCCUGAUAGUGCUGCAUGUAUGGGGGGAAAUAGACUGGCUACAGCACCCCAAGGGUCUGUUUGUCUUUCCUUUGAAACUACAACGUGGUGGAUUCAGCAACAUGAGUUCUUCAGGAUACCUGUUUAAAAUGGUUGCAUCUUACAUAGCAGGCCCAUCUCAGAAGUGAGAUUUGAGGGGAAAAAUAUUAAGUCCUUCAGAAGAUCAUGGAGCUGGAGGAUGUUGUAGGGAAUCCCUUCCAUAACUGUAGGAUAAUCUCUUUCUUCUGAAGCUG
Molecule: long non-coding RNA, 621 nt
Filed under: Anser brachyrhynchus (Pink-footed goose)
Lineage: Eukaryota; Metazoa; Chordata; Aves; Anseriformes; Anatidae
Description: lncRNA (ENSABRG00000006653.1)
Source: RNAcentral